GACGAACGCUGGCGGCGUGGAUUAGGCAUGCAAGUCGAACGGUAUCAUCCUUUCGGGGGUGAGAGAGUGGCGAACUGGUGAGUAACACGUAGGUUAUCUACCCUCAAGACGGGGACAACCCAGGGAAACUUGGGCUAAUACCGGAUGUGAGCAACUUUUAGUUGUUUGAAAGGUGGCGUAAGCUGUCGCUUGGGGAUGAGCCUGCGUCCUAUUAGUUAGUUGGUGAGGUAACGGCUCACCUAGGCAAUGAUAGGUAGGCGGCCUUAACGGGUGGUCGCCCACACUGGGAUUGAGAUACGGCCCAGACUCCUACGGGAGGCAGCAGUCGAGAAUAGUCUACAAUGGUCGGAAGACUGAUAGUGCGACGCCGCGUGAACGAGGGAGCCCUUCGGGUGUAAAGUUCUUUUCUAUACGAGCAGUGCUAUAUAUAUGGAUAGUAUAUAUAGAGGGAUAGUAGUAUAGGAAUAAGCAACGGCUAACUACCGUGCCAGCAGCCGCGGUAAAGUCACG
RNAcentral lists this ribosomal RNA (510 nucleotides) under uncultured bacterium. Its description in RNAcentral is "bacterial SSU rRNA". It matches the Rfam family "Bacterial small subunit ribosomal RNA", at positions 28 to 527 of the family's 1533-position model. The record is from RNAcentral.